RNAcentral lists this unclassified non-coding RNA (237 nucleotides) under uncultured Basidiomycota. RNAcentral's name for it is "sequence contains ITS1". The record is from RNAcentral. Lineage: Eukaryota; Fungi; Basidiomycota.
AUGAAUAACUUUGGCGUGGUUGUAGCUGGCUCUUAGGAGCAUGUGCACGCCCGUCAUCUUUAUCUAUCCACCUGUGCACCCAAUGUAGAUCUGGAUAACUCUCGUGCUUCGGCGCGGAAACAAGGACUGCUGUGUCGCAAGGCCAGCUUUCUUUGAAUUUCCAGGUCUAUGUCUUUACAAACCCCAAUUGAAUGAUGUAGAAUGUAAUCAAUGGGCUCUAAGCCUAUAAAAACAAUA